Non-coding RNA from Ictidomys tridecemlineatus (thirteen-lined ground squirrel), 1217 nucleotides. NCBI's taxonomy places the organism in Eukaryota, Metazoa, Chordata, Mammalia, Rodentia, Sciuridae. The record is from RefSeq and is a predicted model, not a curated record.
ACUUAGCCAGGACUUGGGGAAGGGAAAACCUUGGGAUGAAGUUUCUGCUACCCUUGAAGAAUGAGAUUUCAAAGUUGCAAGUGAAUUUUAAAAAGUGUGUUUUUCGAAUGCUCCAGUUGGGCACAGAGAGGUAUGCCCGUCAUAGACCAGGAUGAGUUGGAUUCUGUAAGUACUCUCUGAAAGCUUCCUGGGGAGGGUUCACUCGGGGGGUUGGGGGGCUGCUGUCUUCCACUCUUUCAUGGGGUCCCAGGGCAGCGUAGAGACCAUCAGAGACCAGGGCAGGGCAGGGUUGCUGGAGUCCACAGGUCUGGGGUCUUGGGCUGACUUCUGGUGCCGGCCUUUUAUUCUCUCCAACAACCAGUGAAGUGCCUGUCCAUCCUGAGAUGCUUGCAUACUGCAGGUGGAUUUAGGGUAGAGACGUGGGAAGAAAGGGGAGGCAGAGAAAAAAAAAAUUCUUGCCUUUCUCUGUCAAUUAUGGAAGUGUUACAGCGGAGGUGGAGGGGGAAAACUGGGUAAAUUGGUUUUGAUUUUGGAGAUGUAACUAAGCCAGAUCAUUUCAUGGCUUCUUUUGAGCCCACAAUUUCUGAUUUUCCAUUACUUUCCAUUCCCUUCACUGGAGCAGCCAGAGAGUGGUAAUGUGGUCCUUUCAGAGCCAGCCAGAGUGCUUCUUUAACACCUGGUAACCACAUGGUCCUGGGCAAGUCACGGCAUGUCUGUCCACAUCAUCUGUGACAGCGGGUGGCGCUCAGCAUCACCAUGAUGACUAUGUAGCUAGAAGCUUGUCAGAUUUUGCACAGGGGCAGCCAGCAACAAGCCCUCUUUCCUAGUUGUAUCCAGAUGACCUUGAAAUCCCAUAGCCUCACUUUUUGCGUCCAGUUUGAAAGCAGGCUUCGAUUCUCUCCCCUAACAUUUCCUUGAAAGUUCAUUCUUCAUUGCUGUCCUCACCAACGGGGACCCCCCCCCCAAGACUUCCAGAAAUGGGUGAACUCCCCAUCAGGAAGUCCAGUAAAGCGGGAAGCAAACUUUCAAGGCAAAAUGCUGAAGGUCCUUGUUUCCUUUGCUUAGUUCUAGUGAUUUGCAGAGUGCUGAUGUGGCUGGUCCCAGCAGCCAAUCCCACCCCACAGAGGACUCGGGGUGGAGACUCUUUGGUACGCGGCUGGGCAGCAGAGUUGCGUGCUGUGUACUUAAUCUGAUUAAACUUUCUGUUGUUUAUUAAA